AACGAACGCUGGCGGCAUGCCUAACACAUGCAAGUCGAACGAGACCUUCGUGUGUGGUUGCGCACGGGUGCGUAACGCGGGGGAAGCUGCACGUAGGUUCCGAAUACUUCCCUGUAGGGGGUGCUAAUGCAGGUUAAUGUAUUCGGAUAAAAGAUUUAUCGCGUUUGGGUGGGCCUGGGUUGGUUUAGCCAGUUGGUAGUGUACAAGCCUAUCAAGGCGUCGUUGGUUAGCUGGUUUGAGAGAAAGAUAAGCUACACUGGGGCUGAGACACGGGCCAGACUGCUACGGGAGGGAGCAGAGGGUAAUAUAGGACAAUGGGCGAAAGCCUGAUCCCGCAAUGCCGCGUAAGUCAUGAAGGCCGUAGGGAUGUGCAGCUGUUUGACACGAGGCGAUAAUGACGGUACCGGGAGAAUAAGCACCGGCUAACUCCGUG
This 433-nucleotide ribosomal RNA is filed under the name uncultured bacterium. RNAcentral describes it as "partial 16S ribosomal RNA". It matches the Rfam family "Bacterial small subunit ribosomal RNA", at positions 29 to 507 of the family's 1533-position model. The record is from RNAcentral.